RNAcentral lists this ribosomal RNA (510 nucleotides) under uncultured bacterium. RNAcentral describes it as "partial 16S ribosomal RNA". It matches the Rfam family "Bacterial small subunit ribosomal RNA", at positions 28 to 507 of the family's 1533-position model. The record is from RNAcentral.
GACGAACGCUGGCGGCGUGCUUAACACAUGCAAGUCGAACGAAGAGCGAUGGAAGCUUGCUUCUAUCAAUCUUAGUGGCGAACGGGUGAGUAACGCGUAAUCAACCUGCCCUUCAGAGGGGGACAACAGUUGGAAACGACUGCUAAUACCGCAUACGAUCUAAUCUCGGCAUCGAGGAUAGAUGAAAGGUGGCCUCUACAUGUAAGCUAUCACUGAAGGAGGGGAUUGCGUCUGAUUAGCUAGUUGGAGGGGUAACGGCCCACCAAGGCGAUGAUCGGUAGCCGGUCUGAGGGGAUGAACGGCCACAUUGGGACUGGGACACGGCCCAGACUCCUACGGGAGGCAGCAGUGGGGAAUCUUCCGCAAUGGACGAAAGUCUGACGGAGCAACGCCGCGUGAGUGAUGACGGCCUUCGGGUUGUAAAGCUCUGUUAAUCGGGACGAAAGGCCUUCUUGCGAACAGUUAGAAGGAUUGACGGUACCGGAAUAGAAAGCCACGGCUAACUACGUG